This 72-nucleotide microRNA precursor is filed under the name Mus caroli (Ryukyu mouse). Its description in RNAcentral is "miRNA (MGP_CAROLIEiJ_G0007901.1)". The record is from RNAcentral. Lineage: Eukaryota; Metazoa; Chordata; Mammalia; Rodentia; Muridae.
AGCCAUCUCGUGAGCCCCACAAGGUCCUGUUAAAGAAUCAUUAAUUGGGGGCUGGAGAGAUGGCUCAGCAGU